GCCUGGCUGGCUCAGUGGAGCAUGCGGCUCUUGAUCUCAGAGUUGUGAGUUCAAGCCCCAUGUUGGGCA
RNAcentral lists this transfer RNA (69 nucleotides) under Canis lupus familiaris (dog). It matches the Rfam family "tRNA". From Rfam's summary of the family: Transfer RNA (tRNA) molecules are approximately 80 nucleotides in length. Their secondary structure includes four short double-helical elements and three loops (D, anti-codon, and T loops). The record is from Rfam by way of RNAcentral. RNAcentral also lists the same sequence under 2 other names. Lineage: Eukaryota; Metazoa; Chordata; Mammalia; Carnivora; Canidae.